GGGGCUGUUGGGAAAGUUGAAAAAGAAAAAGAUAAGCAUUGAGCUAAUGUGUUGAGCAAAACAUAAAAAAAAUGAAAAAGAUAGAAAAGAAAAAAAAAUAAAAUGAGAAGAAAAGCUCAAUGCAAAGAAAAGGAAAGUUGGGAUUAAAUUAUAAAUGUAAAUAACUUUCUUAACUCAAGGAUUUUGUGAUCCAGAAAAACCAAUGUUCUUCUUAACCCAACCACGUUACAAGCCAUAAAAAGUCCUUGUGAUGAUAACUUGCUUGUGAGUAUGAUUGAUUGUGGUUAAAUGAAAGGCAAAGUUAAUUUGUGUGACAUUGUAAUAGUAGAGAGAAUGAGUCACCUCAAUAUACACUUGUGUGCUUGAGUCAAACACUUUCCUUGGUG
This 386-nucleotide long non-coding RNA is filed under the name Vigna radiata. RNAcentral describes it as "long non-coding RNA (VRAD_LNC018601)". Lineage: Eukaryota; Viridiplantae; Streptophyta; Magnoliopsida; Fabales; Fabaceae. The record is from RNAcentral.